This 103-nucleotide microRNA precursor is filed under the name Marmota monax (woodchuck). Lineage: Eukaryota; Metazoa; Chordata; Mammalia; Rodentia; Sciuridae. The record is from RNAcentral.
AGAGGGAUAGCUGGGUCAAAUGUUGGCUUCAUUCCCAUAUUUCCAAGGAAUCUCCAUACUGCUUUCCAUAUUGGCUGCACCAAUUUGCAGUCCCACCAGCAAU